RNAcentral lists this ribosomal RNA (253 nucleotides) under uncultured bacterium. RNAcentral's name for it is "partial 16S ribosomal RNA". It matches the Rfam family "Bacterial small subunit ribosomal RNA", at positions 524 to 776 of the family's 1533-position model. The record is from RNAcentral.
UACGAAGGGGGCUAGCGUUGCUCGGAAUCACUGGGCGUAAAGCGCACGUAGGCGGCUUCUUAAGUCAGGGGUGAAAUCCUGGAGCUCAACUCCAGAACUGCCCUUGAUACUGAGGAGCUUGAGUCCGAGAGAGGUGAGUGGAACUGCGAGUGUAGAGGUGAAAUUCGUAGAUAUUCGCAAGAACACCAGUGGCGAAGGCGGCUCACUGGCCCGAUACUGACGCUGAGGUGCGAAAGCGUGGGGAGCAAACAGG